UACAGGGGGUGCUAGCGUUGUUCGGAAUUACUGGGCGUAAAGGGCGCGUAGGCGGCUUCGUAAGUCAGAUGUGAAAUCCCCGGGCUUAACUCGGGACGUGCAUUUGAAACUGCGAGGCUAGAGUGCAGUAGAGGAUGGUAGAAUUCCCAGUGUAGAGGUGAAAUUCGUAGAUAUUGGGAGGAAUACCGGUGGCGAAGGCGGCCAUCUGGGCUGUAACUGACGCUGAGGCGCAAAAGCGUGGGGAUCAAACAGG
RNAcentral lists this ribosomal RNA (253 nucleotides) under uncultured bacterium. RNAcentral describes it as "partial 16S ribosomal RNA". It matches the Rfam family "Bacterial small subunit ribosomal RNA", at positions 524 to 776 of the family's 1533-position model. The record is from RNAcentral.